Molecule: ribosomal RNA, 238 nt
Filed under: uncultured bacterium
Lineage: Bacteria
Description: partial 16S ribosomal RNA
Rfam family: Bacterial small subunit ribosomal RNA
Source: RNAcentral
GACGAACGCUGGCGGCGUGCUUAACACAUGCAAGUCGAGCGGUAAGGCCCUUUCGGGGGUACGACGAGCGGCGAACGGGUGAGUAACACGUGGGUGACCUGCCCUCCAGCUCUGGGAGUAAGCCUGGGAAACCGGGGUCUAAUACCGGAUAUGACUCCAUGACGCAUGUUGUGGGGUGGAAAGCCUUGUGCGGCUGAGGAUGGGCCCGCGGCCUAUCAGCUUGUUGGUGGGGUGACGG